CCCAAUAGCUCAGCGGUAGAGCAAUCGGCUGUUAACCGAUUUUAGUCGUAGGUUCAAAUCCUACUUGGGGAGAA
This 74-nucleotide transfer RNA is filed under the name Gnetum gnemon. Its description in RNAcentral is "tRNA-Asn". It matches the Rfam family "tRNA". From Rfam's summary of the family: Transfer RNA (tRNA) molecules are approximately 80 nucleotides in length. Lineage: Eukaryota; Viridiplantae; Streptophyta; Gnetopsida; Gnetales; Gnetaceae. The record is from RNAcentral.